Microplitis demolitor is the source of this 255-nucleotide long non-coding RNA. RefSeq lists it as uncharacterized. The transcript has 3 exons. Lineage: Eukaryota; Metazoa; Arthropoda; Insecta; Hymenoptera; Braconidae. The record is from RefSeq and is a predicted model, not a curated record.
UGUACAAGACGAGCUUUUUCGCAAGAUUUUUAUCAUCUGAGUCAUAUAAUUAUUCAAACGUAAUUAGAAAAGUGAAAUUCGGUCCUGGUUAUUGCACCUGGUCAUUGUGGUUAUCGUCGGCAUGAAUAGCCGGUACAAAUGAGUUUAAAAUUACGCGGAAGUUGGUAACUCUAGAUACAUAUCUCGAUAUAUCAUUUCGUUUCAAUUGAGUUCGCUAGUCCAAAUGGGUUUAGAAAGCUGACCAAUCAAUUGCAG